This is a long non-coding RNA of Haliotis rubra (blacklip abalone), 631 nucleotides long. RefSeq lists it as uncharacterized. The record is from RefSeq and is a predicted model, not a curated record. The transcript is spliced from 3 exons. Lineage: Eukaryota; Metazoa; Mollusca; Gastropoda; Lepetellida; Haliotidae.
UUGUUCAUAAAAAACUUUUCAUCCAUUUUUGAUUCAACCCAUCAAGUCAAGGAGUUUGCUCCGAUAGAAUUACUGUUGGACAUGCCAGAAACAAUGAUUCUGUGUGUGUGUGAGCACUAUAACUGUGCUUCUGUGUUUAUAACACGUGGGAUGAGAUUAGACAUGCUUUGAUGUGAAUGUUAUGCUGUUAAAAAUGCCAUGUUAACCAAACUAACUCAUUCACUCACUUUCAUUUCCUUGAUGUUUUUUCUGCUUACUUUGUUAGUGUGUGAAUUACAGAUGUGUCAUGAUUCAGAAUCCAUAUUGGUAACAGUAACUGGAUGUUACCAACUCCAGAUGGUGACAGUAACUCUGUUUCAGACUCUAGAUGGUGACAGUAACUGGAUGUUAAGAACUCCAGAUGGUGACAGUAACUCUGUUUCAGACUCUAGAUGGUGACAGUAACUCUGUUUCAGACUCUAGAUGGUGACAGUAACUGGAUGUUAAGAACUCCAGAUGGUGACAGUAACUCUGUUUCAGACUCUAGAUGGUGACAGUAACUCUGUUUCAGACUCUAGAUGGUGACAGUAACUGGAUGUUAAUAACUCCAGAUGGUGACAGUAACUCUGUUUAAGACUCUAGAUGGUGACAG